RNAcentral lists this ribosomal RNA (316 nucleotides) under uncultured bacterium. Its description in RNAcentral is "bacterial SSU rRNA". It matches the Rfam family "Bacterial small subunit ribosomal RNA", at positions 8 to 354 of the family's 1533-position model. The record is from RNAcentral.
AGAGUUUGAUCAUGGCUCAGAACGAACGCUGGCGGCAGGCCUAACACAUGCAAGUCGAGCGAGAACUUCGGUUCUAGCGGCGGACGGGUGAGUAACGCGUGGGAACGUGCCCUUGUCUGCGGAAUAGCCUCGGGAAACGAGAGUAAUACCGCAUACGCCCUUCGGGGGAAAGAUUUAUCGGACAAGGAUCGGCCCGCGUUGGAUUAGGUAGUUGGUGGGGUAAUGGCCUACAAGCCGACGAUCCAUAGCUGGUCUGAGAGGAUGAUCAGCCACACUGGGACUGAGACACGGCCCAGACUCCUACGGGACGCAGCAG